Molecule: unclassified non-coding RNA, 246 nt
Filed under: Melitaea cinxia (Glanville fritillary)
Lineage: Eukaryota; Metazoa; Arthropoda; Insecta; Lepidoptera; Nymphalidae
Description: misc RNA ENSMCXG00005020003.1
Source: RNAcentral
AUUUCUUUACAGCAGAUGGAAUACUUAUUGAACAAGUAUGUGUAUGUUGAUGUACCUGGUUAUCCGAAUCAAACUCAUUUGAGUCUACAGUAAACUCAUGAGGGAGCCACACUGCUAUGUCAUCACCAGUUGGUGGGUCAGUAGCAGGUGGUGGACCACCCCCAGUUUGGAAUGUUUGUUUCCGUUCCAGGCACUUCUUUUUUUUCUCACACAUUUUUAUUAUGGCCGGGCGUAGGAUCGGUACAG